AGGGCACCACCAGGAGUGGAGCCUGCGGCUUAAUUUGACUCAACACGGGAAAUCUCACCAGGCCCGGACACCGGAAGGAUUGACAGAUUGAGAGCUCUUUCUUGAUUCGGUGGGUGGUGGUGCAUGGCCGUUCUUAGUUGGUGGAGCGAUUUGUCUGGUUAAUUCCGACAACGAACGAGACUCUGGCCUACUAAAUAGACGUUAGAUCCCUUUGUGGGUCUAUCGCAGCUUCUUAGAGGGACGGGCGGCGUUCAGCCGCACGAGAUUGAGCAAUAACAGGUCUGUGAUGCCCUUAGAUGUUCUGGGCUGCACGCGCGCUACACUGAAGGAAUCAGCGUGUGUUCCCUGCCCGAAAGGACUGGGAAACCCGUUGAACCUCCUUCGUGAUGGGGAUUGGGGAUUGCAAUUAUUCCCCAUGAACGAGGAAUUCCCAGUAGGCGCGAGUCAUAAGCUUGCGUCGAUUACGUCCCUGCCCUUUGUACACACCGCCCGUCGCUACUACCGAUCGAGUGAUUUAGU
Molecule: ribosomal RNA, 519 nt
Filed under: uncultured eukaryote
Lineage: Eukaryota
Description: SSU rRNA
Rfam family: Eukaryotic small subunit ribosomal RNA
Source: RNAcentral